GAGUUUGAUUAUGGCUCAGAACGAACGCUGGCGGCGCGUCUUAAGCAUGCAAGUCGAACGGUAAGGGAGAGCUUGCUCUCCCCUAGAGUGGCGGACUGGUGAGUAACGCGUGGGUGACCUGCCCUGGAGAUGGGGAUAGCUAGUAGAAAUAUUAGAUAAUACCGAAUAAGCUCAUUAACAUAAAGGUUGAUGAGGAAAGGAGCUACGGCUCCGCUUCAGGAUGGGCCCGCGUCCCAUUAGCUAGUUGGUGAGGUAAAGGCCCACCAAGGCAACGAUGGGUAUCCGGCCUGAGAGGGUGAACGGACACAUUGGGACUGAGAUACGGCCCAAACUCCUACGGGAGGCAGCAGCUAAGAAUCUUCCGCAAUGGACGAAAGUCUGACGGAGCGACGCCGUGUGAAUGAAGAAGGCCGAAAGGUUGUAAAAUUCUUUUGCAGAUGAAGAAUAAACACAGGAGGGAAUGCCUG
This 467-nucleotide ribosomal RNA is filed under the name Treponema denticola. RNAcentral describes it as "bacterial SSU rRNA". It matches the Rfam family "Bacterial small subunit ribosomal RNA", at positions 9 to 470 of the family's 1533-position model. Lineage: Bacteria; Pseudomonadati; Spirochaetota; Spirochaetia; Treponematales; Treponemataceae. The record is from RNAcentral.